GUGCUCACUUUGUGGCAGCACAUAUACUAACAUUGGAAUAGUACAGAAAAGAUUAGCAUGGCGCUGGUACAAGGAUGACACACAAAUUCAUGAAGCUUCCAUAUAAAUAAAUUUUU
RNAcentral lists this small nuclear RNA (116 nucleotides) under Prolemur simus (greater bamboo lemur). The record is from RNAcentral. Lineage: Eukaryota; Metazoa; Chordata; Mammalia; Primates; Lemuridae.